GGUUUGUUAAGCAAACCACCACCUGCCUCUCUCUUCUCUCUCUCACGUCACGCCUUGCUGGAAAUAGCAAAGUCGCAGGCGAUAUUACUUUAUUUCAGUCAUGCCCGUCUGUUUUGGGUAAGAGCAUUAAUUUCCCUUACCCCAUCACCGUCGAUAUGCCACCACACCAAAAGGAAAACCCUCUUUCUCUUUCCUUGCUUUUCUGCACAUCAAGGACGAAGUCCUUAAUGAACUUUGUCAUUUUCCUCUCAAUUUCUAUUGGUUAUCAACAUAAUCACAAGAAUUCAAGAGAAUACCUUGCAAUUUCAAAAGUCCCACAUCGAAAUUGAAACAACUUUGAGGGUUUUUGGGGUUCUAUAUAAAGAACCCCACUCUCAACACAUACACAUACAACAAGUCUCAUUCUCAUUGAGCAAAAAAAUCGAUUUAACUAGGGUUAGCAAAUUUUACUUAAAACCUUGAUCUAAUUGAGUCUCUAGUCUAAAAUUUUUAUUUUUCUUUCUUUGUGUGGCUGGGUUCUGGUGUUGAGAGCAAAGAAGUACUCCAAAUCCAUUCUCGACUAGGGCUGCACUCAGAAAAGGGAACUCCGUCGUCGGGCCAUUUGGGCCAAAACUGCAACAACCCAUUUCUUCGAUCGAGUCUGUAUGCUUGAAGGCCCUACCAUGGGUGAAAAUGGUUAACUGGUGGGCUUGGUAGGCCCACCAGCCUAACUCCUCUUUCAUUUCGUAUAUGUAUUUAUGAUUGUAUUUGUAACGAAUACUUGUACAUAUUGAAACCCGAAUGGAUAGGAACCCUCAAAUGAUUUUAAAAAACUAGACCCAACAAAAGUAAAAGGAUAAUGUCUUCAAGAAUUUGAAAUAAAGGAUAAACUACUUUGCCAA
This is a long non-coding RNA of Lycium barbarum (goji berry), 881 nucleotides long. RefSeq lists it as uncharacterized. Lineage: Eukaryota; Viridiplantae; Streptophyta; Magnoliopsida; Solanales; Solanaceae. The record is from RefSeq and is a predicted model, not a curated record. The transcript has 2 exons.